This 125-nucleotide transfer RNA is filed under the name Gammaproteobacteria bacterium. Its description in RNAcentral is "tRNA-Tyr". The record is from RNAcentral. Lineage: Bacteria; Pseudomonadati; Pseudomonadota; Gammaproteobacteria.
GGUAGCCAGAUGGUAGCCAUUGAUUCUAUAGUUUAAAAAAACUAAGAAAAAACAAUAAAUUGAAAGAUCGGAAGUAGCACUCAUAACGAUGGGGUCGGUGGUUCGAAUCCACCCCAUAGCCACCA